GCGGAGGGAUCAUUACACAAAUAUGAAGGCGGGCUGGAACCUCUCGGGGUUACAGCCUUGCUGAAUUAUUCACCCUUGUCUUUUGCGUACUUCUUGUUUCCUUGGUGGGUUCGCCCACCACUAGGACAAACAUAAACCUUUUGUAAUUGCAAUCAGCGUCAGUAACAAAUUAAUAAUUACAACUUUCAACAACGGAUCUCUUGGUUCUGGCAUCGAUGAAGAACGCAGCGAAAUGCGAUAAGUAGUGUGAAUUGCAGAAUUCAGUGAAUCAUCGAAUCUUUGAACGCACAUUGCGCCCUUUGGUAUUCCAAAGGGCAUGCCUGUUCGAGCGUCAUUUGUACCCUCAAGCUUUGCUUGGUGUUGGGCGUCUUGUCUCUAGCUUUGCUGGAGACUCGCCUUAAAGUAAUUGGCAGCCGGCCUACUGGUUUCGGAGCGCAGCACAAGUCGCACUCUCUAUCAGCAAAGGUCUAGCAUCCAUUAAGCCUUUUUUUCAACUUU
RNAcentral lists this ribosomal RNA (498 nucleotides) under Alternaria alternata. RNAcentral describes it as "eukaryotic LSU rRNA". The stretch from base 181 to 334 matches the Rfam family "5.8S ribosomal RNA". The record is from RNAcentral. Lineage: Eukaryota; Fungi; Ascomycota; Dothideomycetes; Pleosporales; Pleosporaceae.